RNAcentral lists this ribosomal RNA (463 nucleotides) under uncultured bacterium. Its description in RNAcentral is "partial 16S ribosomal RNA". It matches the Rfam family "Bacterial small subunit ribosomal RNA", at positions 28 to 507 of the family's 1533-position model. The record is from RNAcentral.
GACGAACGCUGGCGGCGUGCUUAACACAUGCAAGUCGAACGGAAAGGCCCUGCUUGCAGGGUACUCGAGUGGCGAACGGGUGAGUAACACGUGGGUGAUCUGCCCUGCACUUCGGGAUAAGCCUGGGAAACUGGGUCUAAUACCGGAUAGGAGCCAUUUUUAGUGUGAUGGUUGGAAAGUUUUUUCGGUGUAGGAUGAGCUCGCGGCCUAUCAGCUUGUUGGUGGGGUAAUGGCCUACCAAGGCGGCGACGGGUAGCCGGCCUGAGAGGGUGGACGGCCACAUUGGGCUAGGGGAGGCGCCCGGGCGGCAACGGGGGGAAGGGGUGGGAAAUUGAUCCAAAGGGGCCGAGGGCGGAUGGAAGGCCGCCGGGUGGGGAAGAACGGCUUUGGGGUAGGAAACGCCUUUGGUUAGGAACGAGCUUUUUGGAGGGGACCCAAAAAAAAAGACACCGGCAAACUAGUG